Non-coding RNA from Aegilops tauschii subsp. strangulata, 2124 nucleotides. Lineage: Eukaryota; Viridiplantae; Streptophyta; Magnoliopsida; Poales; Poaceae. The record is from RefSeq and is a predicted model, not a curated record.
AGUGUGUGGUGUGAGAUGAUAAGCUGUACAAACUGCAAAAACAACCCCGUAAUCUUAAUGUACCGUGGUACAACAACCUAACGGAAGCUGAGCCAUCCCGUGCCUUAAUCCAUGGAGCUAUCCCGAUUCAAUUUCCUUCCAUCAACAACUAGGGUUAGGAGAUCUGGAGAUGGUGGCUUCGCCCAGCAAGACGCCCUCGUUCCGCGCACGGCCGGCGACCGGCGACCGGCGCGACUAAUUCCUUUCCAGCGGCUGCCUUCUCUCCUCUCCGGCGGGUGGCCCACUGCGCCAACCCACCACGACGACCUCGUUCCCACAGGGCCGGCGACCGACCGGCGAGGCUAAUUCUGCUGCGGCAGCUGGCUUCUCUCUCUCCGGCGGCUGGCGUACCGCGCCAAUCCUCCUCUGAGCGCUCCCCAUCGAAUUGGUACUGGAUCCCGUUCCGAAGUAGCUAUGGAAUGCCACAGUGAACUGAGCAAGGCUCCACCUUUGACUAUUUGCGAUGUCCAGUCUGAUGCAGAAUCAGCCAUCCACACUAGACCAAGUUCGGAAAAUGUAUUCACCACCCCGCAGAAAAUGUACAGUGCACCAUUCUGUCGCUCAUCUUGUACUCCAGAGUGUGAUGAUGACAUUAGGCCAGCCAUAGGGAUGACCUUUACAGAUUUGAACGCAGCCAAGGAUUUCUAUGAAGCUUAUGCACAUCAUGUUGGUUUUUCAGUACGUGUAGGACAACAUAAGACAGCCAAUGGUGUCAUUACUCACAAGCGUUUCUACUGUGAUCGUGAAGGUUUCCGCCAGGAGCAGAAAGGUCGGUGUGUGUGGUCUUUUGAAACUCCUACCGAGUUUGAGGAACGAUGGAAGGAAAUUAUGUCGGAGUAUGGGCUGGAAGAUGAUGAUUGGUUCAGUAAAAGGUUCAGCCUUCGAGAAUCAUGGAUACCAGCUUACUUUAAAGAAAUAGCUUUGUCAGGGCUUAUGAGGACCACUUCAAGGUCAGAGAGUGCCAAUUUUUUUCUCACGUAUUAUCGGUUACAAACAUGCUUUGGUUGAGUUUUGGCUUCGAUUUGACACAGUUUUGGAAGAACAACGUCAUAAAGAGUUGCAAGAGGACCAUCUUAGCCUACAUACGAUGCCUGUGUUGAAGACAUCUUGGGCGAUUGAAAAGCAUGGCAGUGAGGUUUUCACGCAUGAGGUAUUUGAGGAUUUUCAACAUGAGUUGUUGAUAGGGAUCAUUGCCUUGUUGAGAUGAUGGCACAUGAAGGUGAGGUGAAAACAGUAACUAUACGUGAUGGUUAUAAGAAACUAAGGGUGGUAACUUACAACACAACAACCAUGGUAGGUUCUUGCACAUGUAAGUUGUUUGAGACACAUGGUAUCCCGUGUCGUCAUCUGAUCCAUGUCCUAAGAACCGCCCAGGUAAAGGAACUGCCAGAGCACUAUGUACUCAAAAGGUUUAGAAAAGAGUGCAAAAAACAGAGCCAGUCUUUGAUGAAGAUGGCAUUCUGUUGGAGGCCAAUGAGAGCAGUUCAAUUGAUCCGGAGAUACAAAAACUAGUUUCAAACACACGUGAGAAGAUGGAAGAACUUUUAGUACAAGCGAAGCUUUCUCGGGUCGGCAUACAAUUCUUGAGAGAUCACAUUUUCGCACUUGGAGAGAAAUGGUCUACUCUAGUUCCAGCGAAGAACAAACUCAAACAGAAGAAUAUGAGGAAUUUCUAGGUUGUUCCAUUCCAAGUGAGGUUGAUAUCCAUCCUCCAAAUGAUAUUCGUUCAAGGGGUAGAAUAAAAAGACUGAGGGAUACAGGGAUAAGGGUGGAAAGAAAGGACAAAAAGAGAAGACCAAGAAAAAGGAAGUGCAGAAGACAUGAUUAUGGUUGCUUGGUGGCACUACUGGCUUCUGCAAGUUAUUAGGACUAAUACACUAUGGCAUUGUGAUGUUCUUAUCUAGUGUACUGGAGCCAUUAGCUAUUGGCGCCAGACUUAUGCAAGUUAUGAGCUAGCUAUGUGCUCUAUGACUGAUCGAUGUAUAAAGCUACAGAUUUGCCAUCAGUUAAUGAUGCUCUAUUUUGUAACUUUGUACUGCAGUAAAGCAUUAUCUUAAGUGACUGAAUAAUAUUGAUGCUGCAUAA